CUGAAAAUCUGCUCUAUAAUUGAAGAGAAAUCUACCAAAAGAGGGGAAAAAAACCUUAACAGUGGCUAUUAAUUACUCCACUCACAAGCACAAUCAAAAUGAAUCAAAUGGGUUCAAGAUCUACAAAUUCAAACCCUUUCACCCCGGCGCCAUAAGGAGAGACUUGUGGGUCUCUUUCUCUUACUCUUACACAUCUGAGUCUUUUUUUGUUUCCCCACUUCAAGAAUAAAUCGGCUUCUGGUAAUUUACAUAACCUUUGAUUCCUCUCACCUUUCUCCAUUUCUACCCUUAGAUUUAACAAAAAGAUGAAAACUUUAGGAACCCAAUUGGGAGCAAAAAAGAUAAGUUUAAUUUAGAUGAAAUAUUCACCUGUAACUUUAAGAUCUG
RNAcentral lists this long non-coding RNA (387 nucleotides) under Panax ginseng (ginseng). Its description in RNAcentral is "long non-coding RNA (PGIN_LNC000206)". The record is from RNAcentral. Lineage: Eukaryota; Viridiplantae; Streptophyta; Magnoliopsida; Apiales; Araliaceae.